RNAcentral lists this small RNA (149 nucleotides) under Klebsiella variicola. RNAcentral describes it as "QUAD RNA". It matches the Rfam family "Short Intergenic Abundant RNA". From Rfam's summary of the family: This family contains multiple ncRNA from E. coli that were identified in a large scale screen of E. coli, were they were called candidates 43,55 and 61. The record is from RNAcentral. RNAcentral also lists the same sequence under 1 other name. Lineage: Bacteria; Pseudomonadati; Pseudomonadota; Gammaproteobacteria; Enterobacterales; Enterobacteriaceae.
UUGACUUUGCUGAAUUCUUGACCUAAUUUAGAGGUUAAGGGUAAGGGAGGAUUGCUCCUCCCCCUGACUGACUGUUAAUAAGCUGCGAAACUUACUAGUAACAGCACAAUCAGUAUGAUGACGAGCUUCAUCAUAACCCUUCUCCUGUU